Long non-coding RNA from Salvia splendens (bonfire salvia), 1059 nucleotides. RefSeq lists it as uncharacterized. The transcript has 2 exons. NCBI's taxonomy places the organism in Eukaryota, Viridiplantae, Streptophyta, Magnoliopsida, Lamiales, Lamiaceae. The record is from RefSeq and is a predicted model, not a curated record.
UGUUCAAGGACCUUGAAAUGCACAGAUAAGGGGCUAUAUCUUGGACUUUGGGUGUGUUCAAGCUUCUUGUUGAAACCUACUAAAGCCCGGUGGUAAUGUUCGGGCCGGCACUGUUCAGUGUUGUUAUAUGCUGAAACCAAAACAUGGAAGGGAGAUGCUAAAUUAUUUCCUAUCUCGAAUUUCGGAUCAAGUUAUGAGGGUAUAUAGACUUUUUUGCCCCUGAAAUGUUUCAAAUAAGGACAAUCAAUGUACCCUUCCCCCCCUUCUACAAUCGGCGCCCAAACCCUGCACCUCAUUACACGAUUUGGUCGCAUAUAUCGUGGGUGUGGAGGAGCGUUGUGGAGUUUUCCAGGUUUCGUCUUCCCCAAUUUACCCCAGGUAUUCCCUAGUUGGUUUUCCUUGCAAUUUGCACAAACAGAUUUGCGGUUGGUUUAUUUUGUGUGUGCAAAGUUCAAUCAUCAGCGAAAGCAAAAAAAGAGAAGGCUAGAUUUCGCGCGUCGUGCUCUUCAACUUGUCAUCCCGAAAUGCAUAAAGAAGAAGUUCCCGAAUGCCAAUGCGGUGGCGGGUACAUGACCCUUAAGCGUGCCUGGCCAUCGGCGAUCAAUGCAGGCCGCUACUACCUAAAGUGUCCGGUUGAAGGGAAGCACCUUGGGUCUUUUAUGUGGUACGACGAAGUGUUUGGUGAAACCUCUAAUCGCAGCUGCAAUAUACAGGCUGACUUAGGUAGGACUCGCACACGCUACGUUCGUGGAGCGGACAGAAUAUCAGAAGCGACGUCCCCCUCCGUUAUAAGUACUCCAAACUACAACACCCUUCGCAUGUUGGAAUGGAAGAGCAAUGUCCUGAUUUUGUGCACCGGCUUGUUGUUGGUAAUGGUAGGAUUUUUUAUUGGAAAGGCUGUCUAGCUGUAGAAAACUUGAACGCUCAUGUGUAUGCUUAAAUUUCCAAUACUAAAAUCAGGUUGUAGUAAACUUGAUAGCUCACAUGUAAGCUUAAAUUUCCUAAACUGAAUGUUAGCUUUCUUAGAUAUUUCAGACGAAGCACCACGCAGUUUGUUAU